CACGUAGGGGGCAAGCGUUGUCCGGAAUUAUUGGGCGUAAAGGGCUCGUAGGCGGUUUGUCGCGUCGGGAGUGAAAUCCACUGGCUUAACUGGUGGCUUGCUUUCGAUACGGGCAGACUGGAGGUAUGCAGGGGAGAACGGAAUUCCUGGUGUAGCGGUGAAAUGCGCAGAUAUCAGGAGGAACACCGGUGGCGAAGGCGGUUCUCUGGGCAUGUCCUGACGCUGAGGAGCGCAAGUGUGGGGAGCGAACAGG
This 253-nucleotide ribosomal RNA is filed under the name uncultured bacterium. Its description in RNAcentral is "partial 16S ribosomal RNA". It matches the Rfam family "Bacterial small subunit ribosomal RNA", at positions 524 to 776 of the family's 1533-position model. The record is from RNAcentral.